Molecule: long non-coding RNA, 535 nt
Filed under: Sorghum bicolor (sorghum)
Lineage: Eukaryota; Viridiplantae; Streptophyta; Magnoliopsida; Poales; Poaceae
Description: long non-coding RNA (SBIC_LNC012879)
Source: RNAcentral
CUACCAUCGCCCAUAUACUAGAUUGCUCUACUCUCUAAUCCCAUAUUAUCACCCAUUGUUAUCUUACCUUUAAUAUUGUUCUUAUUCAAUUCUAGCAUCUUUCCUAUUUACACCUACCUAUCUAACUAAGUUAAGUUAGAGCGUAGAUCAGUUCUCCCGUUUCCCUGUGGAUACGAUAAAACCUUUAACCGGGUAAAAGCUACAACGGUAUCCGUGCGCUUGCGGAUUUAUCUGUGUGCGUAUAAAUACCAUAGUACGCUCUAGUGCCAUGCUGGGGAUGACAACCUAGUAUUCAAGUGGUGUUAGCAAGUGUCAACAAGCAUUUUUGGCGUCAUUGCUGGGGAAACGGUUGCUGAGUUGACUACGAACAACCUUAAUCAUUUUCUAAAAAAUAAAAAAAUAUAUUUCCUUUUAUCCUUUGCCUCAUCUCUACUAUUCUUUCUUCUUAUCUAAUCCUUGAUUUCUGGUCUAUCAUGAAUGCAAACAUGUCUAUCUAUCAGUUUCAUAGACCUACGGGCACACAUCUCGAACCACC